AGAUGGAUUAGUGGCGCACGGGUGAGUAACGCAUAGAUAACAUGCCCUUUAGUCUAGGAUAGCCACUGGAAACGGUGAUUAAUACUGGAUACUCCUUACGAGGGAAAGAAUUUCGCUAAAGGAUUGGUCUAUGUCCUAUCAGCUUGUUGGUGAGGUAAUGGCUUACCAAGGCUAUGACGGGUAUCCGGCCUGAGAGGGUGAACGGACACACUGGAACUGAGACACGGUCCAGACUCCUACGGGAGGCAGCAGUAGGGAAUAUUGCUCAAUGGGGGAAACCCUGAAGCAGCAACGCCGCGUGGAGGAUGAAGGUCUUAGGAUUGUAAACUCCUUUUGUUAGAGAAGAUA
Molecule: ribosomal RNA, 348 nt
Filed under: uncultured Helicobacter sp.
Lineage: Bacteria; Pseudomonadati; Campylobacterota; Epsilonproteobacteria; Campylobacterales; Helicobacteraceae
Description: bacterial SSU rRNA
Rfam family: Bacterial small subunit ribosomal RNA
Source: RNAcentral